AUUGAACGCUGGCGGCAGGCCUAACACAUGCAAGUCGAGCGAGCGGCGGACGGGUGAGUAAGGAAUGGGGAUCUGCCUGAUGGAGGGGGAUAACUACUGGAAACGGUAGCUAAUAGCGUAUACUAUCAGAUGAGCCAAUGUGGGAUUAGAUUGUAGGUGGGGUAAGGGCUCACCGAGGCGACGAUCCCUAGCUGGUCUGAGAGGAUGAUCAGCCACACUGGGACGGAGACACGGCCCAGACUCCUACGGGAGGCAGUAGUGGGGAAUAUUGCACAAUGGGCGCAAGCCUGAUGCAGCCAUGCCGCGUGUAUGAAGAAGGCCUUCGGGUUGUAAAGUACUUUCAGUCGGGAGGCGUUACCGACAGAAGAAGCACCGGCUAACUCCGUGCCAGCCGCCGCGGUAAUAC
RNAcentral lists this ribosomal RNA (406 nucleotides) under uncultured bacterium. Its description in RNAcentral is "partial 16S ribosomal RNA". It matches the Rfam family "Bacterial small subunit ribosomal RNA", at positions 30 to 526 of the family's 1533-position model. The record is from RNAcentral.